AUCUAGUUGACGAGUCCCAAAUAGGACGAAAUACGCGUUUUCCUGGAU
This 48-nucleotide non-coding RNA is filed under the name Trichobilharzia regenti. Lineage: Eukaryota; Metazoa; Platyhelminthes; Trematoda; Strigeidida; Schistosomatidae. The record is from RNAcentral.